UAGCGAAAGCGAGUUUUAACUGAGCGUUCAGUUACUUGACGUAGACCCGAAACCGGGCGACCUACCCAUGAGCAGGAUGAAGCGAAAGUAAAAUUUCGUGGAGGUCCGAACCCACGAGCGUUGAAAAGCUCGGGGAUGACUUGUGGGUAGCGGUGAAAUUCCAAUCGAGCCCGGAGAUAGCUGGUUCUCCCCGAAAUAGCUUUAGGGCUAGCCUCAAGGUGAGAGAUACGGAGGUAGAGCACUGAAUGUCCUAGGGGGUAUUGCACCUACCGAAGACUAUCAAACUCCGAAUGCCGUCAUCUUAUACUUGGGAGUCAGACUGUGGGUGAUAAGAUUCAUAGUCGAAAGGG
RNAcentral lists this ribosomal RNA (350 nucleotides) under Clostridioides difficile. RNAcentral describes it as "partial 23S ribosomal RNA". It matches the Rfam family "Bacterial large subunit ribosomal RNA", at positions 669 to 1019 of the family's 2925-position model. The record is from RNAcentral. Lineage: Bacteria; Bacillati; Bacillota; Clostridia; Peptostreptococcales; Peptostreptococcaceae.